GAUGAACGCUGGCGGCGUGCCCAAUACAUGCAAGUCGAGCGAACAGACGAGGAGCUUGCUCCUCUGACGUUAGCGGCGGACGGGUGAGUAACACGUGGAUAACCUACCUAUAAGACUGGGAUAACUUCGGGAAACCGGAGCUAAUACCGGAUAAUAUAUUGAACCGCAUGGUUCAAUAGUGAAAGACGGUUUUGCUGUCACUUAUAGAUGGAUCCGCGCCGCAUUAGCUAGUUGGUAAGGUAACGGCUUACCAAGGCAACGAUGCGUAGCCGACCUGAGAGGGUGAUCGGCCACACUGGAACUGAGACACGGUCCAGACUCCUACGGGAGGCAGCAGUAGGGAAUCUUCCGCAAUGGGCGAAAGCCUGACGGAGCAACGCCGCGUGAAUGAUGAAGGUCUUCGGAUCGUAAAACUCUGUUAUUAGGGAAGAACAAAUGUGUAAGUAACUAUGCACGUCUUGACGGUACCUAAUCAGAAAGCCACGGCUAACUACGUG
This 497-nucleotide ribosomal RNA is filed under the name uncultured bacterium. RNAcentral describes it as "partial 16S ribosomal RNA". It matches the Rfam family "Bacterial small subunit ribosomal RNA", at positions 28 to 507 of the family's 1533-position model. The record is from RNAcentral.